This is a non-coding RNA of Delphinapterus leucas (beluga whale), 1051 nucleotides long. The record is from RefSeq and is a predicted model, not a curated record. NCBI's taxonomy places the organism in Eukaryota, Metazoa, Chordata, Mammalia, Artiodactyla, Monodontidae.
CCAGUGACACCUGCCCCUACAACGUCCCCUCCUGUCCCUGAGGCUCUGAUGGCAGAUGCAACCGUCUCAGAGUGAAAGCUGGCCAGUGGAUGUUGUAAUGUCGAAGUGUGACUCCUGCAGGGACCAGAGAGAUGGCAGAGCCAGCCCCUGGGGGAUGGAGGGUGAAGGAGCCUGGUCCUUGAUGAUAUCACUGAUGGUUGGAGCCUGGGACCUGCCCUACCCAUGGAGAGGGUCUCCGCAGACGUCCUCCCCAGAAACUCUGCUCCUGUCAGUGGAUGCUUGCGUCAGGGAUGUUAAAGAGCCUCCGCUCCCCCAUCCACACAGCACAGGCACUGCCCAGAGCCUGCUGCGUGGCCACGUCUGGGCACGAGCCUACCAGGCCGGCUGCGGCAGCCCAGGAACAGCCCAAGUUUCCGGCUUCAGGGAUGCUGCAUUUCCCCAGUGACAAACCAUUCUUCUAUAGGUGGACUCCACAUGCAGGUUUUUCUGGUUAAAUGGUGAGAAAGAUAGUCCCACCCCUACCAUCAAAUACCCUAAAAAAGAAAUCAUAACCGGACUUUAAAUGUUCACGUGGUCCAAAGGAAAAAUCUCUUUUUCACAAAAGGAAAUCAUUGACUAGUUCUACAGUGAAGCAUUGCCAGCCUGCUGGGCAAGUUCCUUGGACUGCCGGGGCAGAAGCACCAGGGACCCUCCCUGCCCCUCUCUGCCCAGCAGGCCCCUCCCCACAGCAGGACUGCGUCUCAGCCCCUAAAGACGGAGAGCAGCUGCAGUACAGGAAGUCGGGGGCUGCGACUUCAGGGCGGGGAGCCAGGGGAAAGGUCACUGCAGGGUUUGAUGGGGGAAAUUCUCAAAGGUGACUUGAUAGAAGAGGCCAUUUUCUUAUGCUUUAUGCUUUUCCUAUGAAACAUCACUGAGUGAACUAACGAGUUAAAUCAGACCUUUCCAAGGAUCGGCUGGGAUGAAAUGAGAGAGUGGCAUGGACAUAUAUACACCACCAAAUGUAAAAUAGAGAGCUAGUGGGAAGCAGCCACAUAGCACAGGGAGAUCAGCU